UUGUUACAAUCAAAAUUAACACUUUCAAAUAAUUUCAAUAAUUUGUAAAGUAUCAAAAAAAAAAAAUUGUAAAAUAAUUGGAAAAUUCAAAAGUUAGAAAUGUAUUGUGCAAGUGUGGACUGAGAAGUGUAUCAAAAAAAUAUAAUUUGUAUUUAAACCUAAUGGACUCAAUCAUACGUUGCAAUAAUACACAAUAUACACGUAACACUAAAUACAAUUCAGUCUGAAUCAAGCUCCGUAAGAAUAAACAACAAACACCCUUCGUGAUGCUUUCGUCACUAACUGACUGCCGUCCGCAGUCAUUAUAAAAUGCUUCUUGUUACAAUCAAAAUUAACACUUUAAAAUAAUUUCAAUAAAUUGUAAAGAAUCCAAAAAAGAAUUGUAAAACAAUUAGAAAAUCUAAGAGCUAGAUUUACUAGAAAUGUGUUGUGCAAGUAAUAGAAGUAUUAGAAGUGUGGACUGAGAGAACAGCUGAGGAGAGUAUCAGGAAAAUAUAAUUUGUAUUUAAUCCUGCUGGACUCAAUUAUACGUGUAAGUCAAACAUGGAGACCCAAACUAAGAAACACUCGGAUAAUAUAUCUGUUAAAAGCGGGAAGGUGUUGCUGUUGAACUGAAUAAAGAAGCGAGUGAAUGUAAAAGCGCAUGGACAUCGGUCUGCGAUAUCCAUCCCACCUCUUAGUGACGACAAUUCAAUGGCUGCUAGCAUGGAAUACCCUAACUGUGUCCUUACAGAAGAUAAGGUAGAUGCAAGCACGUCGUCGGUUUACUCCUAUCAAGCAGUCAAAGGCUUCAAAAAGACGGAUAUUACGGAUUGGUAGACAGGAGAUGAUGGCAUCGCUGGUUUGCUGGUCGAUUAUUUACAAAACAAGCAGCAGUCCAGAUCGGUCUUCCCGUUGUGGAACGAGUUGCUUAUAACAAACUUAUUAUUUUCGAAGGUUCAGCAGUAAAGAAAGCAAUAUUAUAAGUAAA
This is a long non-coding RNA of Drosophila innubila, 970 nucleotides long. RefSeq lists it as uncharacterized. Lineage: Eukaryota; Metazoa; Arthropoda; Insecta; Diptera; Drosophilidae. The record is from RefSeq and is a predicted model, not a curated record. The transcript is spliced from 4 exons.